CUUUUGGAAUAACGUUUUAUCAUUAUUGAAGUUUAGUUUUUUUGGCACAAAUAAAAGAAUAGAUAUUUUUUUUCAAAAUAAGGGCAUAUCCAAUGCAACCCCUCUUUGAAGUCCUCUAAAAAAAAGUAAAAUUCACCCGUAUUGGUAUGCUGGUGUACGUAUAUCACACGUUCCGUCUACAAUAUACUGAAAUGACACGGCC
RNAcentral lists this long non-coding RNA (202 nucleotides) under Mytilus galloprovincialis (Mediterranean mussel). Lineage: Eukaryota; Metazoa; Mollusca; Bivalvia; Mytilida; Mytilidae. The record is from RNAcentral.